AUUGAACGCUGGCGGCAUGCCUUACACAUGCAAGUCGAACGGCAGCACGGGAGCUUGCUCCUGGUGGCGAGUGGCGAACGGGUGAGUAAUACAUCGGAACGUACCCUGAAGUGGGGGAUAACGUAGCGAAAGUUACGCUAAUACCGCAUAUUCUGUGAGCAGGAAAGAGGGGGAUCGCAAGACCUCUUGCUUUAGGAGCGGCCGAUGUCGGAUUAGCUAGUUGGUGAGGUAAAGGCUCACCAAGGCGACGAUCCGUAGCGGGUCUGAGAGGAUGAUCCGCCACACUGGGACUGAGACACGGCCCAGACUCCUACGGGAGGCAGCAGUGGGGAAUUUUGGACAAUGGGCGCAAGCCUGAUCCAGCCAUGCCGCGUGAGUGAAGAAGGCCUUCGGGUUG
Molecule: ribosomal RNA, 397 nt
Filed under: uncultured bacterium
Lineage: Bacteria
Description: bacterial SSU rRNA
Rfam family: Bacterial small subunit ribosomal RNA
Source: RNAcentral